CAUGCAAGUCGAGCGCACCGCAAGGUGAGCGGCGGACGGGUUAGUAACGCGUGGGAACGUACCCUUUUCUUCGGAAUAGCUUUGGGAAACUGAAGGUAAUACCGGAUACGCCCUUUUGGGGAAAGAUUUAUCGGAGAAGGAUCGGCCCGCGUCUGAUUAGAUAGUUGGUGGGGUAAUGGCCUACCAAGUCUACGAUCAGUAGCUGGUUUGAGAGGAUGAUCAGCAACACUGGGACUGAGACACGGCCCAAACUCCUACGGGAGGCAGCAGUGGGGAAUCUUAGACAAUGGGCGCAAGCCUGAUCUAGCCAUGCCGCGUGAGUGAUGAAGGCCUUAGGGUCGUAAAGCUUUUUUCGCUGGGAGAAAAAUAAUGACGGUACCCAGUAAAAGAAACCCCCGGCAUAACCUCCCGGGCCAGCAGCCGC
This 424-nucleotide ribosomal RNA is filed under the name uncultured bacterium. RNAcentral's name for it is "bacterial SSU rRNA". It matches the Rfam family "Bacterial small subunit ribosomal RNA", at positions 54 to 518 of the family's 1533-position model. The record is from RNAcentral.